RNAcentral lists this ribosomal RNA (411 nucleotides) under uncultured bacterium. RNAcentral's name for it is "bacterial SSU rRNA". It matches the Rfam family "Bacterial small subunit ribosomal RNA", at positions 8 to 450 of the family's 1533-position model. The record is from RNAcentral.
AGAGUUUGAUCAUGGCUCAGGAUGAACGCUGGCGGCGUGCUUAACACAUGCAAGUCGAACGAACCUUCGGGUUAGUGGCGGACGGGUGAGUAACGCGUGGGAAUCUGCCCUCAGGAGGGGGAUAACGGCUGGAAACGGCCGCUAAUACCCCAUAUGCCGAGAGGUGAAAUGAAUUUCGCCUGAGGAUGAGCCCGCGUCUGAUUAGCUAGUUGGUGAGGUAAGAGCUCACCAAGGCAUCGAUCAGUAGCUGGUCUGAGAGGAUGAUCAGCCACACUGGGACUGAGACACGGCCCAGACUCCUACGGGAGGCAGCAGUGGGGAAUUUUCCGCAAUGGGCGAAAGCCUGACGGAGCAACGCCGCGUGAGGGAUGAAGGCCUCUGGGCUGUAAACCUCUUUUCUCAAGGAAUGAA